UGCACAGAAGAAACAAAAAUGAUGUUGAUUUUUCAGUACAAAAUAUUCAAUUUUCCCAUACAAACCUAAAAGUCCAAAUUUACUCAUGUAAACGUUACUUAAAAAUUCUGCAAAAAAUCAUGGAUGAGUUUUGGACCAAAACGAAGCUUUUGAGACCCCAGGGUUUGAGAAAUUCGAAAAUGACCCCAAAUCGACUCAGUCUAUUACUACAGUGUUGAUAAGGCACCGUUUAAAAACCAAUCCCUCAACUAUAGCUUUUCUCUGUUGGAAAUCAUCCAACCCAAAGCUUAAUGAAAAUUUAAACAGAAGCAUAUGCUUUGAGCAGAUGAUGAUAGUUUUGCUUCAAAGCUCGACCAAACAGGUCACACGUCGACUAAUUCUACGCUUUGGCCAGUUAUCAUCAUGAAUCUGCCACGUUUAUCAGUGGUGCUUAUUUUUUUUUCGUAGGCGUCGUACUUUGUGGUCCUUGCGCCAAACCGCAAGAAACUUCAGUGAAGCAAUGCGGUAAAAAUGAACACCUGGCCUGCGCCUGUGGCCACAAUACGUGCGCUCAACCUCAGUUAACGCUUGUCACCCUAUGCAUUCGGUGCCAGGAGGAGUGUGUCUGCGAAGAUGGCUACGUCCGGAAUGGUGAAUUUGGAGAUCCAUGUGUCCCAAUCGAUCAGUGCGCUCCCACCGCACCUUCUGGUUACUAAUUUCAAGUAGAGAAAACAGAAAACAUAAACUAUGGCUUUUAAAAUUGAUGGAUUCAAGGUAUGAGCCGUUUCGAAUAACGAAUUUAAUCAAAUAAAGAAUUUACAAUUGAUAGUCAUAAUCAAAGAAUAUCAUCUACAUCUAAA
Molecule: long non-coding RNA, 839 nt
Organism: Uranotaenia lowii
Lineage: Eukaryota; Metazoa; Arthropoda; Insecta; Diptera; Culicidae
Exons: 2
Source: RefSeq, a predicted model, not a curated record